AGACUGUGGCGACGCGGGAAGUCCAGACGCUGUGGCGGCCUGAAGAGGAGGUCGCAGGCACAGUCCCCCGCCGCGACCAUGGCGGAGAGGCCCGAGGACCUAAAUCUGCCCAAUGCCGUCAUCACCAGAAUCAUCAAGGAGGCGUUCCCGGACGGUGUCAACAUCUCCAAGGAGGCCCGGAGCGCCAUCUCCCGCGCCGCCAGCGUCUUCGUGCUGUACGCCACAUCCUGUGCCAACAACUUUGCAAUGAAAGGGAAACGCAAGACACUGAAUGCCAGCGAUGUGCUGUCAGCCAUGGAGGAGACGGAGUUUCAGCGGUUCGUUACCCCAUUAAAAGAAGCUCUGGAAGCUUAUAAGAGGGAGCAGAAAGGCAAGAAGGAAGCUUCAGAGCAAAAGAAGAAGGACAAAGACAAAAAAACAGAUUCGGAAGAGCAGGACAAGAGCAGGGAUGAGGACAAUGAUGAAGAUGAGGAAAGGCUGGAGGAAGAAGGAACAGAGUGAAGAGGAGGAAGUGGACAACUGAAGAGGAUGGGGAGACGCCCCUUGGAAAGAACCAGGAGAAAACUUGGUACACGUUUGUGUGAAGCUUGUUCCGGCUGGGCAGAGUAGUCUUAGGCAGAAGAGCCUGAUAAGAUUGAAAUAAAAACUGAAUUA
Molecule: RNA transcript, 654 nt
Organism: Capra hircus (goat)
Lineage: Eukaryota; Metazoa; Chordata; Mammalia; Artiodactyla; Bovidae
Gene name: DNA polymerase epsilon subunit 3 pseudogene
Exons: 1
Source: RefSeq, a predicted model, not a curated record